RNAcentral lists this long non-coding RNA (1181 nucleotides) under Capsicum annuum. Its description in RNAcentral is "long non-coding RNA (CANN_LNC002246)". The record is from RNAcentral. Lineage: Eukaryota; Viridiplantae; Streptophyta; Magnoliopsida; Solanales; Solanaceae.
CACAGAUGUUAUUUUAUAACGGUGAUUCUCAAAUAAAAAAAUUUUCUAGCAGCAAUCCCAAACGGGCUCUAAAUUAUGCCUUUUACAAUAUAACUUGUGGGUUCCGAACUUAUUCUUUUGUCUCUAUCGACAUAAAUUCUAUAGGAAUGAAAUGGCAUAACUUGACUUGUGUUAUAUUAUAUUAUGAUACAAAAUACAAACUUAUAUGAGAAAGAAAAAUCCCUAUUGAAGUUUGGAUAGAUAAGUGGCUUGACAUUGCCCUUCAGGAGGAGGUAAAAGUCCUGUUCUGCAAAGUUGAAGGCUUCUCAUACACUUGUCAUGUUUGGACAGUCUUGGCAUCAAAAUCUUUAAGAGUAUCGGUUCUGAUGAGCUGUAAUCUGACACGUUCGUCGUAAUCCAGUAGUGAGGUGAAUUGUGAUUCUUGAGAAAUCGUUCUCCAUCUUUUGUAAGUUUAGACAAGAACAAGAUUUGAACACUACUUAAUAGUUGUCCCAUGAUUGUCAGUUUCAACCUGAGUAUUGUAUUGGGUUGAAAGUAAUUGAGAUGCGUAGUCUUCGAAAGAUCAGGUCAGUUUCCAUUUGGAUGAACAUAAAACAUCAUAUUAAAAUCCAAAAAUAUCACAAUCUGAAAUAUAGAGUUAGUAGGUGGGGAGAUAACUGUUUGAUUGAAUCUGAAAUCGAAGAUCGAAAUGAUUGCAUGUUUAUCUCUGUGUUUUAUGAGUAAGCAAUCAUUGUAAAGCACCUCUCAAACUCAGAUCAGAUGUUCUUCCAACUUGAAUCACUCAGAACAAAUACUAAUAGCUUAAUUGAAUCGUUCAAGAUCAAAUAUGUUAAUCAAAGUGCUUCUCCGAUUGCUCAAGAUAUCUCUUUUAAACGGAGGAACAUAACAAGUUCAUCUUGGUGAGAAUGGCAUGAUUUUGAAAUUGACAUAUGCUGGAAUUCAUGCUGUUUUGUCAUGUGGUAUUCAUAUUGGAUUGGGUUUGAUUCAUAAUAUUGAAAGCAUAUUUUUGAACUCUUUGCAAUCGUUUUAGUGUAGCACAUCAGGAUUCAACAACAAUAAUAUAUCCAAUGUAAUCAUACAAAUGGAGUCUGGGAAGCGGAGGAUGUGGCCGGUGUUUACGCAAACCUUAUCCCUGCCUUGUGAAAUUAGAGAGACGGUCUCCAAUAGACCCUCGCUCAGAN